RNAcentral lists this small RNA (127 nucleotides) under Marmota monax (woodchuck). The record is from RNAcentral. Lineage: Eukaryota; Metazoa; Chordata; Mammalia; Rodentia; Sciuridae.
GCUGAGUGUGGUGGCUCACACCUGUAAUCCCAGGGACACAGGAGGCUGAGGCAAGGGGAUCACAAAUUAGGGACCAGCCUUAGCAAUUUAGUGAGGCUCUGAGCAACUUAGUGAGACCCUAUCUCAA